RNAcentral lists this transfer RNA (69 nucleotides) under Ictidomys tridecemlineatus (thirteen-lined ground squirrel). RNAcentral describes it as "Spermophilus tridecemlineatus (thirteen-lined ground squirrel) tRNA". It matches the Rfam family "tRNA". From Rfam's summary of the family: Transfer RNA (tRNA) molecules are approximately 80 nucleotides in length. Their secondary structure includes four short double-helical elements and three loops (D, anti-codon, and T loops). Further hydrogen bonds mediate the characteristic L-shaped molecular structure. tRNAs have two regions of fundamental functional importance: the anti-codon, which is responsible for specific mRNA codon recognition, and the 3' end, to which the tRNAs corresponding amino acid is attached (by aminoacyl-tRNA synthetases). tRNAs cope with the degeneracy of the genetic code in two manners: having more than one tRNA (with a specific anti-codon) for a particular amino acid; and 'wobble' base-pairing, i.e. permitting non-standard base-pairing at the 3rd anti-codon position. Lineage: Eukaryota; Metazoa; Chordata; Mammalia; Rodentia; Sciuridae. The record is from Rfam by way of RNAcentral.
GGGAUUGUGGCUCAGUGGCAGAGCACUUGCCUCUCAUGUAUGAGGCACUGGGUUCGAUCCUCAGCACCA